GUGUUCAGUUGGUUAGAACAUGGGGCUAAUAAUGCCAAGGCUGCAGGUUUGAUCCCCAUGUGGGACA
Non-coding RNA from Podarcis lilfordi (Lilford's wall lizard), 67 nucleotides. The record is from the annotation of a GenBank genome assembly. Lineage: Eukaryota; Metazoa; Chordata; Lepidosauria; Squamata; Lacertidae.